UCAUAUUACAAUCCAUAACAACUUUGGUUUGCAUUUGGCAAAUACUGACAUUGUGACAAGGUAUAUAUGGUAUCUGGCUUAUCAAAAGACAGCAGGCAAGAUGAGAAUUGACACCUACAAAUAGUUAUAUUUCCCUCUGCAUCAAGAAAAGUGAGACUUGAUAGCAUUUUCGAAGUUUUAUUUCAACUUCUGAGAAGAUGAGCAAAAUGGAUUAAAAAGGCUGUUGAAAUUGAAGUAAACAGAUGGUCUCUCAACCAAAAUAUGAUGUGGGAAGAUCUGAGUUCUCUUCCUGAACUACCCAUGUACUUCUGUUGUGUUCCAUCUUUUAAAGUAUUUCCUUCCUAUCACUCAUGGUAUUUAUGUUUCCCUAGAACAAAGGGUACAUUAUAGAACCAAAUUUUUAAUUUGCUUUGUCCUUCAAAAGGAAGAUCUAUACAAACAUAAAUGGUCAUUGGACUCUUUUUCUGCACAUAAGACAACAGAGGAUUGAUCAGUAAAGCAUGUCAUUUUAAUACUCCACAUUUGUCUUGUAGAGGGUUUGUUGGAUAAGAAAGUAUUUUCAGAACAGUUGUGGCUCUGCACAAGUAACAUUUUGGAGGUCACCUGGUCCUGGAAACGAGAUUUUGAAAAUAUCUGAAAUACAACAUUAAUGAAUAGAAUUGAUCUCUAGAAUGCCACUAAUUCAAAAUGCUUAAGUGGUGAAUGUGGGAGUGGGGAGGAAGAAGAUACUCUGAAUACAAAUUCAGUUCCACACUUCGUCAUCUUUUUUUACGGUUGUGCCGUAGCAUUGACUGAUCUAUUUCUUUUGAAUGAGACAGAACAGGCCAAUUUAAUUUCAUCUUUUCUGCUCCUUGCUUCCGGCACAAUUUUCUAUCAAAGCAUAUAAAGACAAAAUGGUGGGUUUUUUCCCCCUUAAUAACAUUACAUCUCUUGUGAUUAACUGCUGAUAUUUAUUUCAGUGAUAUUUGAUCAAUGUUACUGUUGAACAUGAAGAAAUAGUCAAAUCUGAGUCACACAGUAUAUGGCAAACUCUUCCAUAGCUCAGUUAACCAUAAUGAAUUUCUGUCAUUACUACUCUGUCAUUUCAGCAGCAGCCUUUUUUCUCAGUAAAUACAAAGCCAUUAAGUAGUCAGAUAUCUGCAAUUCAGUAAUCCUGAUGAAAUUAAAAAUUCCACACUUUUGUUACUGAAAUAAUUAAUAACUUAUUCAAUUUAAUAAUAGGAUGGAUGGGGGUCUUUCAUUGCAGAGCUUGAAUAAGCCUGAAAUCAAAAUGUCUUUUAUAUCCCGAAGAACAUAUCUCAUUCCUUUGAAAUAUUAAAUGUCAGUUUUCUUAUCAGAAUAAAUUUUUUGCUGG
Molecule: long non-coding RNA, 1354 nt
Organism: Gallus gallus (chicken)
Lineage: Eukaryota; Metazoa; Chordata; Aves; Galliformes; Phasianidae
Source: Ensembl